This is a long non-coding RNA of Hemicordylus capensis (graceful crag lizard), 2983 nucleotides long. RefSeq lists it as uncharacterized. NCBI's taxonomy places the organism in Eukaryota, Metazoa, Chordata, Lepidosauria, Squamata, Cordylidae. The record is from RefSeq and is a predicted model, not a curated record. The transcript is spliced from 6 exons.
CACACUUACUUUAUGCAAUAUCUAUGUUACAUGUAUAUUAUCAUAUGGCAGCAUCUAGACUGUAGGAGAAUCAUCAUUAUGUUAAUAUGUAUGUCUGUUUCAUUGCUAAUGAAAUAAACAGAGAAAGCUCUCUUAAUUUACAGAAUAAUCGAAAGAAAUGGGUAGGUUAGAUUCUCAUAAUAUAGAAUAAUCCCAUCUGGUUUUAAAAUCAAUAAGAAAUUCUCACUGGGGAAAAAAAUAGAGAUAUAGUUUGCUUUUUGUAACUGGUAUUCAAGGAAAGCAAGGCCAAAGCUUUUCUUCCCAUCAGUAGUGCAUUCUAACAUUAAAGCACAGUCUAUUACAUAAAAGCUCACCCUUAUCUUUACCGUCUGCAUAUUAGGCAAAGAUACGCAGGGCUUUAAAUGGCUUCUCUCUCUAGUGUUUGACUCUUGCAAGCUUACUCAGGUUAGAAGUCACAGAGAAGGAAGGAAGGAAUUCACCACCAGUUAAAAGGUACAUAUUCUGACUUCUUGCAAUUAAUAUUGUUUCCUUGUUUAAACAACAAAGAUAAAAAUAAAAGGGCUUAGAAAACUAGGAUGUCCAAAUUGGAGAAAAAUGUACUGGACAAAAUCCAGCAAAAGCCAAUCAUUGUUGUGAAAGGGGCAAUCUUGUGCACUCUUAUAUGACAUUAAAUUCCACUGAACUCAGAGGUACUUACUUCAGAGUAAACAUUCAUAGGAUUGUGUCCCAUCUUCUGUUAAAAUCAAAAGGGUUUAAAUCUAACAGUACAUGAUUAAGUACUAUUCUUUUGCUUGUAACAAAAAUGCAGUAAAAUCUCAUGCAUAUUUAUUGUAAAGUAAUUUCCACUAUAUGCAGAAGGGCCUACUUGCAGGUAAAGGAGCACAAUCUUAGUUGUGACUCAUUUUAGCAGGGUUUUGCCCAUGUUGUUUCUCUAGAUUUUUAAAAUCAGUAAAAGAGCCGCCAUCCAGUAUUCUGGGCCUUCUUUCUCAGUCUUUCAAAAGUAUAUAUUUAAAUAAAAACAGACCUGUCAAAUACUCAGAGAUCAAAUUCCUUUAUAACCAUGACACAAGGACUAUAUAGAUUUGAUAUAGAUAUAGCUAUAUAAUUUUAUAUUGCAUUAAAUGAAAAGUUCAUGUUGUACUUUGAUUUUUAAAUCCAUACCUCAAUAAAUUCAUCAUCAUCCCAUACAACACAAUUAAUAGGAAGAUUAUAACUAAGAGCUCUAAAAAUAUUGUUAAAAGAAAGUGCCAGAAGUCAAUAUAUUUAAAAGGCAUCCUUAAAAUGUAAGCAUUAUUGGAAAUCAGAAAUACUGGUAUCAGUGGACUAGAUUUUUUAAAAAUUGAAAUCAUGUAAUAUGACUUUCUUUUUUCUUGAUUUGCAGAAGAAAGAUCUCUUUGGCAGUAGGAGAAUCCUCAAAUGAACAAGUGAACACAAAAGCCUGGUCCAAACUAGUCUCAUUUCAAUCAGUGGGAGUUUGGCUCUCAUACAUUGCUAUGAGAACCCAAAGGGACUUAAAAGACCCAUUUGGGUUGGGAACUGAAACGCCGGUGCAUAGUGUUUAAUUUUAUUAAUCUAUUUACGCUCACUGCUUUUGAACAAAUGCCCAUUUAAAAUAGUUUUGCAUAAUUACACAUUUAAGUCGUGUUUGGGUUGAUUCUUAAUUUAUUAUUGUUAUUGUUAUCUUGAGCUGCAUGAAAAUUAUUGAUUCACUGAAAUGGAGUCGGGCCUCUCACAAGCUCUUUUCUCCAAGAUGCUUUUGGAAUUUUCUGCUUUGCUACAAGAAGGUUUGGUCACAGUGUACUGUGCCAGCUCCAAGAACUGCUCUACACUUCUUCUCUUGCCAAGUCAUGCUUACCUCAGGUGUGUGGGAACUAACUUCUGGAGUUUCCUUUCUGGAAUUUUACAGUCCUCUUUGUUCUGUCCUGUGAAGCUUGGAACCUUGGAGCAAAUCAAACAUUGACAUUCUAUUGGAAAUGAUUAAAGUAUUGGCAUCAUACACAUCAUCUUUUCAUCUAAUAAUUGACAGGCAUGUCAGUUGGAUUCCUUCCUGUUUUCCAUCCUUUCAGUCUUCUAGCCAGCAAAUAUAUGGCCUUCAAAGAAAGAUGAAUGAAAACUAGACAUGCUACACUUCGGGAUGCAGACAGUCCCAAAAGUCUGAAAAGUUUCCAGAAAGAAGAAGAGGCUGAGUGGCAGCAUUAUUAUGAGAAGAAGAAAGGCACAAGUCCAAACUGGCACUCAUCCCACAAGGCUUCCCAGAGAAGGAUGGGAACUGGUGUUGCACCGGCAGUGCAAGAAAAUAGUGUAACAUGAUGUUGAAGGCGCUUGUGAUCUCAUUGGGUGCUGGAAUUCUCAGGAUGGAACUUCUCCAAUGAACUUGCCCCUGUGGUGUGUACUGAACUAUCCUAGAUGGAUAAAUCACUGCAACUAUCUAGGCCUUCAGAGAUUCAACAGAGGUCCCAGGGUGUGCUCUGAGGGCAUGUAGCCUUCCUGCCAAAGCUAAGCAGGAAGAAGCACCUCCUGUGCUUGGCUCAGAAAUAGAUUCUAUGGCUCCCAGCCCCUUCCACUUGAGAAGGAGACACGAUAGUGUUUGGGCGCCAUCUUGUGGCUUUAUCAAGUAGGGGCAUUUAAACCUAUGUGCGUGGCACGCCGUUUGGCAGCAAGCAGAAUGCCUUAAACCAUUUCCACAUGUAGAAUUGGCAAGAGGCUGCUGGGUCCCAAAACAUGCAGCUGCAUCAUGCUGGACACAUUUCUGAGUGAUGAAGAGAAACUGAAUCUGACAAAAGGCAUGAAGAGAUCUGUCUGGAACAGUUGGUGAAAUGUUAAUUACAAUUAAAUUAACUUGUAAUGUUUCGCAAUGGUGAUAUGAUUAGCCUGGUGACAUUAUUACUUGUCAAAAAUAUUGUUCUGUGGCUUUAAUAUUUGUAUCCAUGAAUUCUGAAAGGAAAUGACUGGUACACAUUUUAAUAGAGAUGGGAUGUUUGCA